GAUGAACGCUGGCGGCGUGCUUAACACAUGCAAGUCGAACGGAGAUUGCUAAAGGAAGUUUUCGGAUGGAAUUUAGUAAUCUUAGUGGCGGACGGGUGAGUAACGCGUGAGGAACCUGCCUUUCAGAGGGGGACAACAGUUGGAAACGACUGCUAAUACCGCAUAACGCGUAGAGGUCGCAUGGCCUUUACGCCAAAGAUUUAUCGCUGAAAGAUGGCCUCGCGUCUGAUUAGCUAGUUGGUGAGGUAACGGCCCACCAAGGCGACGAUCAGUAGCCGGACUGAGAGGUUGGCCGGCCACAUUGGGACUGAGACACGGCCCAGACUCCUACGGGAGGCAGCAGUGGGGAAUAUUGGGCAAUGGGCGCAAGCCUGACCCAGCAACGCCGCGUGAAGGAAGAAGGCUUUCGGGUUGUAAACUUCUUUUGUCAGGGACGAAUAAAUGACGGUACCUGACGAAUAAGCCACGGCUAACUACGUG
This 480-nucleotide ribosomal RNA is filed under the name uncultured bacterium. RNAcentral's name for it is "bacterial SSU rRNA". It matches the Rfam family "Bacterial small subunit ribosomal RNA", at positions 28 to 507 of the family's 1533-position model. The record is from RNAcentral.